ACAAGACACCCUUCAGGGCUGGAGAGAAGACAACCAGCGAUUGGACAGGGGUCAUGGAGAGGAACCUGGGAGCUGUGCUGGGGAUUCUGUGGGUGCAGAUUUGCUGUGAGUUGUGCUAAGUUCCUAUUAGAGAUUCUCCAGAAAUGUUGGUGGUGGAGGGGGAGAUGUUGAUGAAAAUCUCCUGUGCACUCUUCCUCAUGGGUGUCUCCUGGGGUAGUUGAUGGUGUGAGUGAAAAUCUCUCUUUGAUUUUGGUUUGCUUUUCUGUUUUCAAGCAGGGGUGAGCGGAGAUAAGGUGAAGCAAAGUCCCUCAGCGCUGAGUCUCCAAGAGGGAACCAAUUCUGCUCUGAGAUGCAAUUUUUCUAUCGCUGCGACAACUGUGCAGUGGUUCCUACAGAAUCCCAGGGGCAGCCUCAUGAAUCUUUUUUACCUGGUGCCAGGAACAAAGGAGAAUGGGAGGUUAAAGUCAGCAUUUGAUUCUAAGGAGAGCUACAGCACCCUGCACAUUAGGGAUGCCCAGCUGGAGGACUCAGGCACUUACUUCUGUGCUGCUGAGGCACAGUGCUCCCAGCAAGGCUGGAGCCUGGCCCCAAACUGCAGCUGAGUGUGCAGCUAUAACCCCUGGCACAGGCAGACUCUGCAGGAGGCUUUGCACAGCUGUGGCCUUAUCAGAUCGCCACCAGUUACAGAGAAGAUGUGAGGAAACAUAAGCUCGGUGCAGAAGUUCACACUUACAUUCAGGUUUGCAUGACACUGACUGCUAGUGUGUUAAACGCUCAGAGUCAUCCUCGGCCCACAACACUAAAACACACACUUCACUUUAUCAAAUGCUUGUGCUAGUGUCACAAAAUAAAAAACCCUCUUAUAUACUCCAGAAUCAUUUGGGCCAUUUCUCACAAUCAGAAACUGAGAGCAACUGUUUCUAUCCUUUGUUUAGAGAGCACCUGACCAAACUUCCACCUAAUCUGUUAAAUAUGAAGUUGAUAAAAGAAUUAAUAUUGAUGAUCUAAGAAAUUCAGUGGUAGAAAAGCAGGGUAAACUAAUCUUAUUUAAUGAAGACAUUACUACAAUGUUUUUUUUUUAGUUAAAAAUAGAGUACAUUUAAUUAUGCAAUAUGAAACAAAUAUUUCACAUAAAAAUUACAAGAGCCAAAGAUAAAUGACUAACUAGAGAGAUAUAUUUGCAAUUUGUAUCACAAUAGUACUUACAGCAAUUGAUUCUUCUGGCAUAUUUAUACAUUUGCAACAUAAUAGUUAUACUAAACUCUCAUUAAAACACUGUUUUCAAAAGAAAACUCAAAACUCCCUAAAUAUCACACAACAGGGGACUAAGUCACUAUAUCAUAAUUAAAUGUGAACCAAAGAGUUGCUUUUUCCUAAGUGUUGGCUGAUUUCAUUUUGCAGUUGAAAAAACCCAGCUUGUCCUGUCUCUGUAAGGAACUGGAAAACACCUGUCAUUCUUUCAUGUAAUUUCUAUCCAUUGCUCCCCAACCCACCCAAUCCUGCUUCCUGGCCCUGGCACUACCUAUAAUAGGGCAUAUAAUCUUUGCAAGACCAAGGGCCUCUCCUCCCAGUGAUGGCUGACUAGGGUAUUCUCUGCUACAUAUGCAGCUAGAGACAUGAUCUCUGGGGGUCCUGGUUAGUUCAUAUUGUUGUUCCACCUCUAGGGUAGCAGAACUCUUCUGUUCCUUGAGAACUUUCUCUAGCUUCUCCAUUGGGAGCCCCGUGUUCCGUCCAAUAGAUGACUGUGAGCAUCCACUUCUGUAUUUGUCAGGACCCUGAUAUAGCUGUCAGGCAGAGCCUCACAGCUAUAUCAGGGUCCUGUCAGCAAAAUCUUGUUGGCAUAUUCAAUAGUGUCUGGAUUUGGUGGUUGUUUAUGGGAUGGAUUCGUGGGUGGGACAGUUUCUGGAUGGUCCUUCCUUCUUGACCUGUCACCUUUAUUAAUGAUUGAGUAAUUCUGAAUAGAUAUACCAUGUUUGCCUCAUCUUCAUCUUUAGUUUAUUUAUUUUUACCUUUGUUGAAGUGAUCAAUAAAUUAUCUGCCAACUCUUCUUGAAGUGGCAGUUCACCUGGAUCAAAUCUGAUUGUUUCCAGUCUAUAUUAGGUAGCAUCAUAAAUCCUCUCACUGUCUUUCACCUCUUAAACCAAACCUUGCAAAUGGUGGCAGUCACAUAUUGACAGCAAUUACCACUCUAGGUUCAUCCCUGGCUCAAUCUCUCUCUUCCUAGAGCCUUCAUCAUGCAUGCAUGUCCCACCAACUCUGGCUGAACAAGGCAACAAAUGGUGGCUUGUAGGUGACACAUCUUCCUGAGUUGAUAUUUUUAUAUAAAUUACAAUGCUGACUAUUCAGUGUAUAGGCUGAUAUUCCUAAAUAUAAACUCUGUUGUGUUUCAAAAAUAAUCUAGGCUUUGUUUUUUGCAUCUGGAGAGAGAAACAAUUUUCUGUUUUAUAUCUGGUGUCAAAAGUUUAUCACUACCUCAGUUGAUAAUUUGACCCUCAUAAUUACCCCUGUGAAGCAGGUACUGAACUCCAGAAACCCUUCAAGAUGAGACUGUUAGUGUGACUUUUGCUUCAUAUAUUAUAAACCAUCUUCCAUUCUCAGUAUCCUAAGUUGCAGGGUAAAUAUAUUUUUUACAAG
This 2634-nucleotide long non-coding RNA is filed under the name Mus musculus (house mouse). RNAcentral describes it as "long non-coding RNA chr14:53210852-53213486". The record is from RNAcentral. Lineage: Eukaryota; Metazoa; Chordata; Mammalia; Rodentia; Muridae.